Molecule: ribosomal RNA, 440 nt
Filed under: uncultured bacterium
Lineage: Bacteria
Description: partial 16S ribosomal RNA
Rfam family: Bacterial small subunit ribosomal RNA
Source: RNAcentral
CCUACGGGUGGCUGCAGUGGGGGAUAUUGCACAAUGGGGGAAACCCUGAUGCAGCGACGCCGCGUGUGGGAAGACGGUCUUCUGGAUUGUAAACCACUGUCCCCAGGGACGAAAAUGACGGUACCUGGGGAGGAAGCUCCGGCUAACUACGUGCCAGAAGCCGCGGUAAUACGUAGGGAGCAAGCGUUGUCCGGAAUUACUGGGUGUAAAGGGAGCGUAGGCGGGGAUGCAAGUUGGGGGUAAAAACUACCGGCUCAACCGAGAGUCGCACUCAAAACUGCAACUCUUGAGUGAAGUAGAGGCAGGCGGAAUGCCUGGUGUAGCGGUGAAAUGCGUAGAUAUUAGGAGGAACACCAGUGGCGAAGGCAGCCUGCUGGGCUUUUACUGACGCUGAGGCUCGAAAGUGUGGGGAGCAAACAGGAUUAGAUACCCGGGUAGUC